This 21-nucleotide non-coding RNA is filed under the name Caenorhabditis elegans. The record is from RNAcentral. Lineage: Eukaryota; Metazoa; Nematoda; Chromadorea; Rhabditida; Rhabditidae.
UAGAGAAUUUGUAGAUGUCUC